RNAcentral lists this unclassified non-coding RNA (421 nucleotides) under soil metagenome. RNAcentral's name for it is "partial contains 5.8S ribosomal RNA, internal transcribed spacer 2, and large subunit ribosomal RNA". The stretch from base 1 to 120 matches the Rfam family "5.8S ribosomal RNA", at positions 35 to 154 of the family's 154-position model. The record is from RNAcentral.
GAUGAAGAACGUAGCGAAAUGCGAUACGUAAUGUGAAUUGCAGAAUUCAGUGAAUCAUCGAAUCUUUGAACGCAUAUUGCGCUCUUUGGUAUUCCGAAGAGCAUGCUUGUUUGAGUAUCAGUAAACACCUCAACCUCUUUUUGAUUUUUCAAAAGGAGGGUGGACUUGAGCUAUCCCAACAACCUUUACCGGUCGGCGGGCGGCUUGAAAUGCAGGUGCAGCUGGACUUUUAUCUGAGCUAAAAGCAUAUAUAUUUAGUCCUCGUCAAACAGGAUUAUUACUUUUGCUGCAGCUAACAUAAAGGAUAAUUGUCCUCUUUGCUGACUGAUGCAGGAUUUUACGACACUUUAUGUGUUGUUCAACUCGAUCUCAAAUCAAGUAAGACUACCCGCUGAACUUAAGCAUAUCAAUAAGCGGAGGA